AAAUAAAUUCAUAUAUAUAAUAUCACACUAAAUCAGGUAUACAAAAAUAUUCUACAAUGACAUGUGGGCCCCAAUAUAACUGAAAAUAUACAAGACUGUAGACCUUCGAUUUUUAAGGAUGCAAAUCCAAAAGCAACCCUCGACAAAAUCAGUUAUCUACAGACUGUCCUGAGCCUGAAAUGGGUAAAAAGAAGGGGUGAGUUUUUAUAAACCUAGAGAGUAAGCAAAGUUCAUCUACAACAUCUAAAGCUGAGUAAAUGGAGACAGUUAGAUCAUCCCAUCACAAUAUGAUUCAUAACAUUUAAAACUCAUUUCAAUUCAUAUAAAACAAUUACAUUUCAUCAAAAUAAUCAACAAGGCAUAUGAUUCUCUUAAAAACUUGGCUUGUGCCAAAACUCAUACUCGGGGACACCUUAGCUCGGGCAUCCAACCGAGUCCGCCAAGGAUGUUAAAACGACAUAUACCUAUAAAACAUGUUUUUACUUUUAAAAUAUAGCCAUUCCUUGGCGUUGGCUGAGUUUCAUCCUCACGUGGUGGUUCGGCGUGAAGUGAACUCUAAACUUACCUUAGGAGAUACCUUCCGUACCUCUCGUACUAAGGUAAAAUAUAACGGGGUUUACCGUGCCCCUCUAAUAGCUGGUCCACGAAAACCCGCCCACUGCAGUAAGUUAAUCAAAUGACCCAUCAAAUCAAUAAAAAUUUCGACAGUAUGACAUGGCUAAUAUAGUAUUACCCAGCCUGUCAUGGUAAAACAAAACAGUUUAUAUAAUCCACAAACCAUAAAUCCAGCCAUUCAUGCCAUCACAUUAUCAUAAGCCAUCAAUUCAAACCAUAUAUAUAUAUAACACAAGUAUUUAGUCUCCACUUACUCAAUUUCCAAAAUCAUCAUUGAAUUGCAAAACAAUUUAUAAAUCUCAUUCAUUUAACCAUCACUUAACUUAUAAAACAUAAAAUCUACAGUUUAAGUUCAUUAUUCUUUAAAAUCAUAAAAACGAGUAUAAACUACUUUAGAUAGUUAAGAUGAACAUUUGAUUACUCAUAAUAGCGGGAGUUUGGAGUACUCCUAUUCUUGGUCAUUGGAUACGAUAUCUUUACCCUUAUCAGAGGGCUCACCACCUAUACAUAAUAUACAACACGUAAUUCAAUAUAUUUGUGCCAAACUGUUAUAAAACUAUUUCAGGCUCUAUAUGAAUGUAUGAAAUUGAAUGAGAAUUGUUCGAAUAAUCACUUAAAGACGAUGUUCUACGUGGGUUCAAUUAUGAUCGGACUAAUUUGUAUUCGACCUAACUCGAACUAUACAUUGUUGAAUUAACCAAAACAUCCGAUUCAACUUCAAAUAUAUUCAUUACACUUCCAAUAUUCCAAAUACACCAAAGUACCUCAAUGAGCUUGAUUGUGACUUAAUUCAUCAUAAUCGAAAUUCAUUCUGAUUAUGAACUAAUGUGCUAAUCAGUGUUAACACACUCCAAUAAAUCCAUCUACAUCAUUAGGAAUCAAAUCUAUAAUCAAUAUGUCAUCUAUAAAAUUUUGCUAGAGAGGGUUGUUGAAGGGCAUGUGAUUUUCUUGCUUGUUUUUCAUGCCAAACAUCAUCAAAAAACUAAAAACACUAAGAUAUCAUGAAAUCUAGCAAAAUCUAUCAUCAAAACCUCUCUCCCUAUGUUCUGCCAGCAAGUAUUCCCUCAUGGAAACUUGUGUUUCAUCCAUAGAAAAUGAAAAAGAAAGCAUGAGAAAGGUAGAUCUUAAGCUAAAAUUGAAAAAUCUUACCUUUGAUUGCUUUGUUCUUUGAAAUUCAACAAAUUUCUCUUGAAUUUUCCUCUCUAGGGUUUGUUUCUAUUAUUUUCUCUUUGUUCUUUGCUUU
This 1858-nucleotide long non-coding RNA is filed under the name Theobroma cacao (cacao). Its description in RNAcentral is "long non-coding RNA (TCAC_LNC000868)". Lineage: Eukaryota; Viridiplantae; Streptophyta; Magnoliopsida; Malvales; Malvaceae. The record is from RNAcentral.